Molecule: long non-coding RNA, 1483 nt
Filed under: Oryctolagus cuniculus (rabbit)
Lineage: Eukaryota; Metazoa; Chordata; Mammalia; Lagomorpha; Leporidae
Description: lncRNA (ENSOCUG00000037288.1)
Source: RNAcentral
AUGUAUUGUGCUUCCGCCUUCUCAGGGUGGGCAGGGCAGCCCCUUGUUUUCAAACUUGGAAGAAACUUUCCCCCUUGGGUACUGGAAGCCCUGCCAGCAAGGGAGGACAAGCCCAGGAAUCCCCGCCCCAGAGAGCGUCCCCAGGGCCAGGGGCACUGCAGCCCUCAGAGGGGAUCAUCUUCCUCCACACCCACUCUCACCCCUCCUGGCUCGCCGCCUGCUGCAGGGCUCCUUCCCAGGCACAAGGCAGUCCUUGGCGGAAGGUGCCGCACGGUGGACCAGCCUCCCUCACAGUGCGACUCCACCACCUUCGCUCUCUGCUCUCAGCACAUCCCGGCCUCCAGGCACUGCCAGCCAUGGCACCAUGGAAACCCGGAAAUUCCAGAUCCAAGAGCACUGAUUUACGGCUUCAAUCAUCGCCUGCCAAAUACAGUCCCGGCUGAGGGCCAGCUGAUCCAGAACAGGUAUCGCACAUUCUCCUAAGUCACACCAUCCCAGCCCCGAAGUGAAGAGUUUCAUUCACAGGAAACCAUUUUCUGAAAUCAGCAAAUGCGUUUUAUAAAGAACCAGUAAAGAAUCAAGGGUUGGGGAGGGGCGUCCACUAUAAAGAUCGCUUAAUACAAGAAUACAAGAAUGUCUCUGCUGACACGUGGUAAGCUCUGUGGCUUUUAGUACUUUUAUUAGGCCUCUUUCCCACACCCCAGGUUUAACUCUCGUCGUCCUCUGUCCAGGUAGCUUUCUGGGAACUGAUUCUGCAGGGCUCGCAGCCUGGACAGAACACUCUCAGUGAACCUGUUAUUCCCACAACUCCUGCUAAGGCCUGUUUGCUGUUUAUUGACACAAAAUAUUGUGUGUGGGCCACUUUGACAUAUUCCUUCGGGUUUCCAUGCAACAUGAGGCCCUUCCAGCAUUGAAUUAUUGCUCUAGAUCUAUUGUGUAUAAGACCCAAAAAGAAUAAGAAGAAGCAGCUGCUAAGGAAAUGGCUAAUCCCUCGUCUGAUAUCCAAGGACAAGGACUAGAAAUGCCACCACCCCCCAGUACAUUCCUCCCAUCACCUUGUUAAAAACAGCGAAAUAACACAAUAAUUUUGCUUCUUCCCAAAGCUUCAUUUGUGCCUGGAAAAAUGUAUGCAGUAACUGGUAAAAUCAGAAUAUCUAGGUGAUUUCUAGCCUAAUGAGAAAGAAGAGACUAAGCAUUUGAACAAGGUAUUCAUCUUGAGCAUAUUUAAUAUACUUUCAUGUGUGAAGUAUCUUUUUGCUAUUUUAUUUUUUAUUUUUUUAAGUUAGUCUGUGAAAGUGAACCCUUUGUUCAUCACUAGAAGAGUUCAUGAAUGUCUUUACAAACGGGAAAUUUUCACGCAAAGAUGGUGGCUUUUGACUUGCUUAAAAAGGCAAAUAUUUCUUCGAUUAGAAACUCAUUGAAAGCCUACUAUUUGGCAUAAAAAAGCACGGGGUACCUCUGCACUCUCAAAAUGGGGGGCAAG